GAGUUUGAUCCUGGCUCAGGACGAACGCUGGCGGCGUGCCUAACACAUGCAAGUCGAACGGAACUUCUUUAAAGGAUUUCUUCGGAAUGAAUUUGAUUAAGUUUAGUGGCGGACGGGUGAGUAACGCGUGAGUAACCUGCCUCUAAGAGGGGAAUAACAUUCUGAAAAGAAUGCUAAUACCGCAUAACAUACAUUUAUCGCAUGGUAGAUAUAUCAAAGAUUUAUCGCUUAGAGAUGGACUCGCGUCCGAUUAGUUAGUUGGUGAGGUAACGGCUCACCAAGACCGCGAUCGGUAGCCGGACUGAGAGGUUGAACGGCCACAUUGGGACUGAGACACGGCCCAGACUCCUGCGGGAGGCAGCAGUGGGGGAUAUUGCACAAUGGGGGAAACCCUGAUGCAGCGACGCCGCGUGGAGGAAGAAGGUUUUCGGAUUGUAAACUCCUGUCGUUAGGGACGAUAAUGACGGUACCUGACUAAGAAGCACCGGCUAAAUACGUGCGGAGCCGCCGCGGUAAUAC
RNAcentral lists this ribosomal RNA (519 nucleotides) under uncultured bacterium. Its description in RNAcentral is "bacterial SSU rRNA". It matches the Rfam family "Bacterial small subunit ribosomal RNA", at positions 9 to 526 of the family's 1533-position model. The record is from RNAcentral.